CCCCUGACGUCGGCAAAGUUCUGAACUUUGGGGGGAAGAGAGGAGGUGGAAGUGUCGGACUUGGAGUGGCCCCGAGCCAUGGCCAUUGUCCCGUGCGCUCUGCCGGGCUCUGCGCGCGGGGCGGCACCAGGAGGGCGCGCUCUCUGCAGCAGAGCGCAGGGGGCAAAGGACCAAGAUCAGCACUAGUUACUGCCAUGUGUCACCUGCAGAGUCCUGAUUACCCACCUCUUUUCCAUGUUUGCUUGCAAUGUCAAAAGCUCAGCUGCAGUUUUGUCAGUGACACUCAUCUGUAUCUCUCCUCCCAUGCAAGCCCCAGCACUGGUAAAGUGACAGUCUACAGGAGAUUAGCUCCCUGAUGAACAACAGCUGUCUCAAAUGCAACCCAGGCAGGAUUAAUGAGAAAAGUGCUCUGAAUAACCAGCCAAAAUGCUGUUUCCUCCUCACCAAUAAGAGCAUAGAGCCUCCAUUGGUCAAAGUGGUGUGAAUUCUCAGGUUCCUGGUUGACUCAUCACUGUGCUUGGAUGACCAGACAGCACUAUCUCAGAAUGCCUUUUCACCUCCAGUUGACUAACAAACUUGACCCAUUCUUUCCAGAUGAGGACCUGGCCACAGAGAAGUUUUCACAGAUCACCAUCAAAUAGGAUUACCAUAUUCACUGUAUCUGACACUGAAUAUAUAAAUCCAAAGGCCAAUACCAGUGUGGCUGCUUUCCAUCUUCAUGAUUUAAUCUAUUGUGAGCAUAACUCCAUAUGCCAAUUGCUUCUAUUGACCUCCAAUCUCCUUCCAACAGCAGUGCAAGGGUUUUGAUCCUAAUCUUGAAAGCUAUUAGUGGAUAAAGCCCCAUCUCCAGUAAAAAGCCAAAAUUAGGGCAGGGGACUUUAGAUGAAUUCAGGAGCUGAUCACCUUCAGGAAAUGCUUCCUCCAAUAAAUACUUUCCACCUUAUCAAUUACAACAUUAACAUCCUUCUAUACUCUUCAACCCUCUCCCCCAAAACAAACAAACCACCAAAAUUAACUCCACAAACCACCAAAAUAAAUAAAAAACGCACAACAGGUCUAAGUAAACCAAAAGAGAUGGCUAACAGACAACUGAACCAAAACCCAACUGUUUCUACUCCCAAUAUAGUUUAAAGAGACACACUCCAUCAAAGCCACCAAGAACAGUUACUUUAAUUGGGAAGUAUUCAGGUACUGUGGGUGACAGUAUUAAGCACUACCGUAGUAGUGCUGCACUCUGUUAUUUGUGGAGUCAUUAUUUCUUUUCUCAAAUUUUGGGACACUUGAGCAGAUUGCAAAAGGUUGGAAAAAGUAUCAAUUUCAAGAAUUUUAGUACUCUAGUGCGGAGGAAGUGAAGACUUUACCCAGCUGGACUUUUUACUAUUGUCAAUUGCUAGGAACUGAAAGAAAGGCAUAGACCUUCUAUGUGGUUCAUCUUGUUUAGUAUCCGAUGUGACAGUGGCCAGGAUCACAUGCAUCAGAAGAAACUGUGAGACACUAUACCCUUGUGGCAUAAUAUGGCCAGAAGGGAAGUUUCUUCCUACAGUGGUUGGCAUUUCAAUAAGGAAAAGUAGACACACAUUUUAAGUGAAUUCUUUGAAACGCCUGCAGGCUGGAAAGCGCUCAUCUAAAAACACGUGGUGUCUAGUACAACAGAAUCAUGAUCCUUGAUUGGGGACUCUAGGUGCUACUGCAACAGGAAAAACAAUUAGUUUACCCACUUUAGGAACAGCCGUUGCAUAAAGAUGGGGAUGGACUGAACAAACAUCUCUCUCCAUGAUUUUAUCUACUUAUUGAUUUCAGUUUUGACUUAUCUUCCCUUUCUGGAUACUUUUGGAUUUUCUUUAUCUUUAUAAAAGUAUUAAAGUAUAAAAGGUCUAAGUUCCAGAGGGGGCAUAAAUAUACUCUGAUCUUAACAACUCAGCCAACAUGCUUUGCAUUAUGCUCUGAAAUUAAAAGUUCAUCAGACUCUGGCCAGUGGGGGAAAGGGAGUUUAAAGUAUGAGUUCGUUGGAGAGAAGGAAUGUAGCUAGCAGUUAGGAAUUUGUUAACAGGCUGGCCAAUACAUUUCUUCCCCCUUCCCCCAUCAUCUUUAAAGUUAGACGAGCUGUUAUACUCAUUAUGAUCACUAACAGUAGGUGCAGGUACAGUGGAUUUACUGUAUGAGUCUAGCAGAAUGAAUAAAGAGCUUGUUGAUUAAGCUGAAACCACUGGCAGCGUGUCAAAAGAAAUAUUGCCCAAGUUAAUUAAAAUUUGUAGGCCUUGUCAAAGAUGGCAUAUACCUGCCUACACCUAUGGCAAAGCAGCAUCAGUGGCUGUUAGUGUUAUGUACAGCGGAAAUGUUGGUCCACAAGUUAUUAGAACCUAUGCCUAUCUGGCCUUUAUUUGCUUUUCACAAAUGUUUGUACAAUUUAAUUUAUUUUUAGUUGAAAUAAAAAAGUAAAUUUGGAGCCAUAGCCAAGGUAAGGUGAGUAGAGUAACAUUUAGGUCUAAAUGAGCAACAGUUACUAGACAUGGCAGAAAGUAACGUGUAGUUGAAGUUCUUCGCGCCAGCAAUGGUCUUAUGUAUUUGUUUACAUCUUGCGCAAUGGGGCAGUGAACUUCGCUGAGGCCUCUCAGCAAUAUUGUAUCGCCAGCAGCAGUCAUUUUUCUCUCCACUAGAGAAUGGAACUGCCAAGAGACUUAAGGUGAUAGCUCCACUUGCACCCCAUUAUUAGGUGCUGUGUAAACUUAGAACUCUCUACUGGCAGCAGGAGAAUCCACCUUUCUAAGGACCUCAUCCUGCAGCUUGCAUGCCUGGGUGGAGCCAAGGCCCAUGGAUCAGAGUGGGGCUCACAUGGACGAGGUUGCAGGAUCCAAGCUCUAAGUUUGCAGGACUGUCCCACUUUGACCCCCAACACCCCCACAUCCCAGUUGAAAUAGAGCAUUUCUUGCAUUAACUUGGCUACCUUAAAUUAGAACCAAUUACUACGGGUGAACAAAAAUACAAUUAAAAUUGAACAUGCAAGUAUAGCCACAAAGUUGUAUUUCAUUUGUUCUGUAAAGUCACAACUCUGUAUUGUUCUUUUUUAAAAAAACUUCCACAUUCCUUGUGUUAAUAAAAACCACGUACGCACUUUGA
Molecule: non-coding RNA, 3117 nt
Organism: Chrysemys picta bellii (western painted turtle)
Lineage: Eukaryota; Metazoa; Chordata; Testudines; Emydidae
Source: RefSeq, a predicted model, not a curated record